This 412-nucleotide long non-coding RNA is filed under the name Phoenix dactylifera (date palm). RNAcentral describes it as "long non-coding RNA (PDAC_LNC015725)". Lineage: Eukaryota; Viridiplantae; Streptophyta; Magnoliopsida; Arecales; Arecaceae. The record is from RNAcentral.
GUGGCGGCAUAUUUUCAUUAUAUUGCUCAAAGAAAUCUAUUGUUUGAGACUUUCACUGUAUAUGAAAAGGAUGGUUUCUUCGAGUAGAAAAAGAGAGCUCACUGUGUUGGAAAUCAAGAUGAUUCACACUCACAAAUUAUUCUAUAGAAGAAAAGUGCAGAGGAUUUUAAGCACACAUGAAUAAUUUGUAUUCCACUUAAUUCAAAAAACAACUAGAGUAUAUGGAUAUUUAUAGGCAUCAUUAGAUGGUCUUUUAACCGUCCUAAUUGAAUUAGUCAUUACACCAUUCAUAACCCCAAAUAAAUCUCAAAUAACUCCCUCUAAAUAAAUUCCUUAUAACUCCAUGUAACUCCUACAUGACUAAAAACCCAAAAGACAUGUAACUUCUCACCAUACUAAUAUGCAAUUACAG